This is a long non-coding RNA of Zea mays, 1182 nucleotides long. RefSeq lists it as uncharacterized. The record is from RefSeq and is a predicted model, not a curated record. Lineage: Eukaryota; Viridiplantae; Streptophyta; Magnoliopsida; Poales; Poaceae. The transcript has 2 exons.
UCUAUCUAUACAUUAAAGCUGGGAGCAACGGCGAGCUCCCAAGCUAUCCACGUCAGUUUUUUUCACGAUUGGUGUUUAACGGACGGAAGGUUUCCCUUUCUUUGACUAGUACACAACACCGAAGCAUUCCAGAAACUCACUUGAGAUCCUCCUUUGCCAUCCCACCGGAAGCCAAACCUUUCCCCCUCCAUGCCGCACUAGGGUAGCUACUGCCAAGGCGCGUCGGUCCAAGGAAGCUCGUGUUCCUGCGUGCCACGUUCAUGGAGUUGCCCGACACGUCCCGCUUCUUCGUGCUAUCGUUCAUCGUCGCACCGCUGCCCACCAACUCCUCCUAGAGUACAUCCACCCAAACUCUGUUCGCUCCCCAGGCGGCAGCGCGCUCGGAGGUCCUAGCCUAGCGGCCUCAGCCUCGACAUUCCAUCUGCUCCCCAGGCGGAGCGUGCUCGGUGGUUCUACUCCUAGCAGGCUCGGACUCGGCACUCCGUCCGCUCCCUAGGCAGCAAUGCCUUCAGAUGUCCUAGCGGCCUUGACAUCGUUCCGAGUGCUGGGCGCCAUGCAGGUGUUUGACAAAAUGUCCAUGUCGUCUAUCAUGGUCGUGUCAUGCCCAGCGUUGGGAGAUCGUGCUCACCUACUGCAGCUAAUCGUAUAAAGCGACUUUAGCUUUCGUCUGGGAACAAUUUAUUUUUUAGGUUCUCAGUGCCAAAUAGCUUGGCGGGCUAGAGGAUGUGAAAAGGAUUCUUCUAGAUACUAUUCUGGUAAAUUUGACUUGGUUCAGCAGUAAAUAUCAGCAACACCAAUAUGACGCUCAAUUAUAGCUCCCUUUGACGUAUAAUCACCUGAUUUCUUCUAAAUUGCGCAAGCGAUCAGGUGUCUGGGUAUAUGGACCUCCGGGAACAGGGAAGGUAGGUUUGAAAAGGUUUCACACGAAUUAAAUUAUAUUUUUUUGUUUAGUUACCAUAACAAGUGCAUUCUGUCUCUUAGGAGACAUCCGAUAACAAGUGCAUCCUAAAGACAUGGGAUCGCUAAAAUGAAUGUAUGUUGGACUUCUAGGCUUUACUCGCGAAAGCCUGAAUACUCACUGAACUUUCGUAGCGUCAAAGGUCCAGAACUGAUAAACAUGUAUGUUGCAGAAACAGAAAAGAAUGUUGAGGAUAUUUUGAAAAGGUAUGGAAUUUACACAGC